GGCUACAGGAGAAGAGGGAGAGAAAGAAAAUUCAUAGCUAGGGUACACUAAGAGGAAGUUUAUGUGCGAUUUCUCAAUCAGAUUAAUUAGCUAGCGGUGGAAUUGCGAGCAGAAUAAGGGAGGAAUUCGUCAAUCAGAUUAACACCGUCACUGAGAACAAAGUUAAAUUUGACUCUCACUACUUGAGUAGAAUUUAUGUUUUAAAUUCUAAGAUAUUUUUUGGGAAGAAAUGAGUUGAUCUUGGAAU
This 247-nucleotide long non-coding RNA is filed under the name Carica papaya (papaya). Its description in RNAcentral is "long non-coding RNA (CPAP_LNC015103)". Lineage: Eukaryota; Viridiplantae; Streptophyta; Magnoliopsida; Brassicales; Caricaceae. The record is from RNAcentral.